This 70-nucleotide transfer RNA is filed under the name Cyrtodactylus loriae. RNAcentral's name for it is "tRNA-Trp". The record is from RNAcentral. Lineage: Eukaryota; Metazoa; Chordata; Lepidosauria; Squamata; Gekkonidae.
AGAAGUUUAGGUUAAAUAAACCAAGAGCCUUCAAAGCCCUUAAUAAGAGCAGCCACCCUCCUAACUUCUG